Molecule: long non-coding RNA, 4798 nt
Filed under: Sus scrofa (pig)
Lineage: Eukaryota; Metazoa; Chordata; Mammalia; Artiodactyla; Suidae
Description: lncRNA (ENSSSCG00065056041.1)
Source: RNAcentral
GUCAUAUGGAAGUUUAGCUACAGCUGCUGGCCACAGCCACAGCCACAGCCACAGCCACAGCAGCACCAGAUCCGAGCCACAACUAUGACCUACACCACAGCUCAUGGCAACUCCGAAUCCUUAACCCACUGAGUGAGGCCAGGGAUCGAACUGGCAACACCAUGAAACCUAGUCAGGUUUGUUACUGCUGAGCCACAACAAGAACUCCUCAGACUUUUAAUCUUUAAAACUCUGAGUCCAAAAUUAUUCUAUUCUUUAAGUCAUGCAGUUUGUGGUUCUUUGUUAUAGCAACCCUAACAAAAUAAUAACUUUAUCUGGAAAUAGAGCCUUAGCGAAUGUAAUUGAGUUCAUACUGGAUUAGGGUGGAUCAUAAAUCUUAUGUCUAGUAUGUUUAUAAGGCCAUAUGAAAACACAAAGAUAUGGGGAGACACCCAAGGAAGUACACACAUGUGACAACAGAAUUAGAGACUGGAGCAAUACAACCUCAAGCAGAAGAAUGCCAAUGACUUUUGGCAAUCAGCAGAAAGAUUCUCCUUCAGAACCUCCAGUAGGCACCAACCCUGCCAAUUUCUUGACUUUGGAUUUCUCUACUUCAGACCUGUGAGAGAAUAAAGCUCUUCUGUCUAAAGCCACACAGUUUCUGUAGCAGCCCUGGGAAUCUAAUACAAGGAGUGUUAUAUAUUCUAUCCACUGAAAAAGGACUAUGUGAAGAUUUGUGAUGAGAAAUUGUGCUUCUACAUCUAGUCCAGAAUUUAAGAUUAUCAACUCCAGAAUGAGCUUCUAGGAGAAAUAUUAAAGAUCAAAUGGGAGGGGGAGGGAGUGGGAGGGAUCGGGAGCUUGGGCUCAUCAGACACAACUUAGAAUAGAUUUACAAGGAGAUCCUGCUGAAUAGCAUUGAGAACUUUGUCUAGAUAUUCAUGUUGCAACAGAAGAAAGGGUGGGGGAAAAAAUGUAAUUGUAAUGUAUACAUGUAAGGAUAACCUGACCCCCUCGCUGUACAGUGGGAAAAUAAAAAAAUUAUUAAAAAAAUAUUAUCAACAAAAUGUAUAAUGGAAAGUAAUGCAGGAGUUAAAGCAAAGAUUGCAUCAUAAUUAUUAAGCUGGUAGAUGUUCUAUAAUGUGAAAAAGAAUACAUUAAAAAUGUAUUAUCAUAUUGGAUAGAAGAAAGGAAAGCAUUUUCUACAAAGAAUUUAUUUUGUGACAUAGCUCUUUUUGCUGGUGGCAUGUCUUAUAUGUUUUCAACUUCAACCCCAGUUUCUAUAAGAAAAAAGUAUUUAUUCUGUGGAAAAAUUGAGUUGGACAACUAUAAUGGUCUUUUAAUCAUUGGCUUCAAGAUGCUCUCCCUGCCUGUCAGUAAACAAUGGAACAAUUGAUGCUGUUCUUUUAAAACUUUACAACCCCACAACAUCUACUUCAUUUCAGACUUUCAACUUAAACUAUUUGGCUUUUAGGACACUUAACCACAUCUAUCCAAGGAUAGUACUUCAAAUAUGAAGCUAAAUCUCAGAUUUAAUCUGGUUUCCCAUUCAUCUUCCAACCCCCAAGUGAACCAGAUGUUGUAAUUAUUCUAGCAUUUUCUACUAGCAAAUUGGCCACCAAUUUCAUUUUCUACUUGAUCUGAGAUCCCACAUAAAUAUGAUUAUUGUUGUUGUUUUAUUGUUUUGUUUUAUUCCCUGUGUUCUAAAAUAGUCUCCUUAAAGGAAAUCUAGUUGGCCACUAACAAAUUACUUAUCUUUGGAAAUAUGGACCUCUUUGGUCCUCUUUUUCUGCAUUCGUAAAGGGGGAUAGGACCUCUUUGGUCCUCCAUGUCUGCAUUCGUAAAGGCAGAUAGGAAUCUCACAGUGUGAUAUAAAAUAAAUUACUAAGGCUAAAUGUCUGGAACAUAUUACGAGCUCACCAAAUGUUAAUUCUAUCUCCACUUCCCUUAAUAUUAUACAUUGAACAAUUAAAACAGAAACAGUCAGAUGAGAAUAGAACCACACUGCUUCUUCUACUCUGCUUAGGUACAUGUUAAUUUAAAUCUCUACCUAUGCUCUUUUUAAUCUAAAACCUCCAACUUUAUACUCGAUCCCAUAUUUCUCUAAGAAUAUUAUUCUAGAAGUCUACCAUCUUUCUACUAUAUUUCUAAUUGUUCCCUUCCUUCUACAUACAAAAAUUUCCCUAUUUUUCCCAUAUUAAACUACAGCAGCACAAACAACUUCUAUUAUCCCUUAUGGUUCUAAUUUUUCUGCUCUUUUUAUAGCAAAAAAUCCUAAAAAUAAUUAUUUGUGCUUAGUGACCCCAAAUCUUCACCAAUUCUCUUUUAGACACACUAAAGAAUGUCAGACCCAGAUCAACCUACAAAAAGUUCAUUUAGUAGAGUUGAUCACUCUUCUCUAUUUUGCUGUAUUUUCUUUACUUAGCUUUUAGGACAACAAAAAUAUUUCUGUUUACCUCCCAUCUCACAUGUAAUACUUUCUCAGCCUCCAUAGCCUUUCCUUCUCUUCUCUCAGACCUCUUAAUGUUUGAAUAUCUCAUGGAUUAAUCUUUGGUGUAUUCUUUCUUCUAUUUUCAAACAAUUGCUUUUCUGCUCACAGCUUCAUUACUUUGAAACUUUACCUCCUAUAUCACAAUGACUCUCAAAUUUAUACCUCCAUUGACACCUCUUUUCUGAAUGUCAGAUUGGUUCCUUGAUGUCUACACUUAGAUGUCUAAGAGUCAGCUCAAUUUUAGGUGAUCAAAAAGUGAUGUCCAAAACAUCACCUUUCUACCAUGCCUCCCUGUAAACUAUUCUACAUUCUUUUAUCUCCACCUUAAUUGAUGGCAAAUCUAUUCUUCUAGGUAUUUAGACCAAAAUCUAGGAAUCUUCUCUAACUGCCUGUUUUCCUUCACAAUCCAUAACCAAAUAAUCAAGCAAUGUGAUCUUCAUACUGUAUCAAACCUCUACACAUCCACUGUUACUCCUCUGGUCUGAGCCUGGACCAAGCUGCCAUCUUGUCCAAACUACAAUAGCUUCUUAUUGGCUCUCCCAGUUUCUCCAAAUUCCCCUGUAAUCUACUCUCAAUACAUAAGCCUGAAUGAUCUAUUUAAUAUAAAGUCAGAGCAUUCUGAACCUCAUUCCCUCUUUCUACUCUUUCCAGAUUUACUAUACUCCUAGCUGUUCCUUAAAGACACAAGGCAGACUCCCACCUUAAUGCCUUUGUACUUGUUCCUUGCUGCGCUCUUUUCCCAGACAUCCGUUUCAAGAUAUCUGGGAAAAGAGGACUAUAUGACUAUCUUAUUCACAUUUACCUUCACCCUCCACACCAAACACUUGAGCUGUUUAUUUCUCAUCUGCUUAUAUCUUUCAAAUUUAGUUGUUAUGAUGUUCAUUGUCUAUAAUUUGUCACCACACAGUAGCAUAGAAGUUCUAGGAGGGCAAGGAUUUUUGUUGUUGUUGUUUUGGGUUUUUUUAACUGAUGUAUCUUGGGGGCCUAGAGUGGUAAUUAAUCAGUGUAGAGUAAGGACAAUAAACAUUUGUUAAGAGAAUAAAUGAUUUAGAUAGAAAUGCAUAAGCGUGAAGGAAAAGCAUUCUAAAAUAUAACUGCCUUUUAAAAUCCUAAAAACAUUGACAGUGAUAGGAGUCAUUUUUACACAUAUUUAAUUAAGAAAAAAAUCAGUCUCUAUAAAUCACCAAAUAAGCCCUAAGUUUGUGGAAAAGGCUCUUGAAUGAAUUCAAUAUUAUCUAAGAUAAAAACUAUUAAACAAUGCAUGAAAGUAAAAUAUUUAUUAAAAUCAGUAAUAAGAGUCUCAAGGAGUCAAGAAUUAUACCAGCACCAUCUAGAAAAAUUCUAAUUUUCUAUACAAUAAAAAUUGGGGGAAGUGAAAAAAAGUUAACUGCUGCAGAAAUUAAAAUUAAUUCUGUAUUCAUCUCACAGGAACUAUAUAAAUAAUAGUAAAAGAACUGGAGAAACCAAACAACUCUAGGGUGUCCAUAAGCCAAUCAAUUUGCUGUGGAUUCUCUGGUCCUUUGUUUUUCCUUCUCAUGUUUACUGCCUAAUAUUUGACUACUUUACUGUUUGUUGGCACUCUCACAAGACAGCAAUCUAGAGAAACAAAAUGAAAUAUAAGCAAAUUAAAGCUACUCCUGAGAGCAGCUAGGAAGACUAUGUUGGGAUUUUGGUCUGGACAGUGAGAAACAUGUUCACUAAAAUGGGUACUAAGCACUUUUCUUUGGAAAUCAGUUGCUAACAUUGGUUUGAACCAAUUCAAUUAAAGUGAGCAUUAAACCCAACUAAAACAAAGUCAACUGAUAGAAUAAAAUGAAUUCACAAUAUAUUUGAAUGUGCAAAAGCAAGCAGGAAGAAAAGAAGGGCUAGAAGGGGAGAUAUACAAGAUUCUGCGGUAGAAAGCAUCCACAUGGGAUAAUUUAACAUAAUGAAAAUGCAUCUAAUAUAAGCAAGAACCAGGGCCAAAUCUGACUCUCCCACUUACCAAAAACUGGGUCAGAACACUUAACUUUCAGAACCUACUUUCAUAUUGUAAAAUAAGGAUAGUCAUUUACUUUGCUCAGAAACUUUUUGUGAUAAAUUAUGUCUGUCCUCUACAACCAAAUUUCAGUUUCUAUCACAUGUUUUCUGCCUAUCUGGCCCAGUGCUGACAGUCAUCUCAUUUUAAGCAUGCAUCCUUUUUUCAAUUUUGCAAGAGUAAAACACAAAAAAAAACCCCGAAAAACAAACAAAAAAACAAAUCUAGAGAGUAAUUACCAUAUGACUAAAACUAUCAUGGGAAAUUUAACAAGAUAAAUUAAAACACAUAACUAGGAGGACCUGUUCUAAAUA